RNAcentral lists this small nucleolar RNA (107 nucleotides) under Sorghum bicolor (sorghum). RNAcentral's name for it is "Plant small nucleolar RNA R71". It matches the Rfam family "Plant small nucleolar RNA R71". Rfam says of the family: R71 is a member of the C/D box family of snoRNAs containing the C (UGAUGA) and D (CUGA) box motifs. Multiple nearly identical copies of this snoRNA have been identified in Arabidopsis, and it is thought to function as a 2'-O-ribose methylation guide for 18S ribosomal RNA. Lineage: Eukaryota; Viridiplantae; Streptophyta; Magnoliopsida; Poales; Poaceae. The record is from Rfam by way of RNAcentral.
AUUCCAUGAUGAGGACAGGCCCGGAUGUACUCCUAGAGCCUUUCCCAUGCUUCGGGGAUGGACUCUAGUGAAGACAGCUAUAAGUUGGAGAUCUCCCCCCUUAGAGC